GACAGAGGGUGCGAACGUUGCUCGGAAUCACUGGGCGUAAAGCGCGUGUAGGCUGACGGUCAAGUCAGGGGUGAAAUCCCUGGGCUCAACCCAGGAACUGCAUCUGAAACUGGCCAUCUUGAGUACUGGAGAGGGAAGUGGAAUUCCUGGUGUAGCGGUGGAAUGCGCAGAUAUCAGGAGGAACACCUAUGGCGAAGGCAGCUCGCUGGGACGGUACUGACGCUGAGGUGCGAAAGCGUGGGGAGCGAACAGG
Molecule: ribosomal RNA, 253 nt
Filed under: uncultured bacterium
Lineage: Bacteria
Description: partial 16S ribosomal RNA
Rfam family: Bacterial small subunit ribosomal RNA
Source: RNAcentral